Molecule: transfer RNA, 73 nt
Filed under: Camelus bactrianus (Bactrian camel)
Lineage: Eukaryota; Metazoa; Chordata; Mammalia; Artiodactyla; Camelidae
Also listed under: 2 other names
Rfam family: tRNA
About the family: Transfer RNA (tRNA) molecules are approximately 80 nucleotides in length. Their secondary structure includes four short double-helical elements and three loops (D, anti-codon, and T loops). Further hydrogen bonds mediate the characteristic L-shaped molecular structure. tRNAs have two regions of fundamental functional importance: the anti-codon, which is responsible for specific mRNA codon recognition, and the 3' end, to which the tRNAs corresponding amino acid is attached (by aminoacyl-tRNA synthetases). tRNAs cope with the degeneracy of the genetic code in two manners: having more than one tRNA (with a specific anti-codon) for a particular amino acid; and 'wobble' base-pairing, i.e. permitting non-standard base-pairing at the 3rd anti-codon position.
Source: Rfam by way of RNAcentral
GAGGGUAUAGCUCAGUGCCUAGAGCACAUACUUAGCAUGUACAAGGUCCUGGGUUCAAAUCCCAGUACCUCCA